UGUGUAGGCGGUUUGGUAAGUCUGGUGUGAAAUCUCCCGGCUCAACUGGGAGGGUGCGCCGGAAACUGCCGGACUCGAGUGCGGGAGAGGAGAGUGGAAUUCCUGGUGUAGCGGUGAAAUGCGUAGAUAUCAGGAGGAACACCGGCGGUGUAGACGGCUCUCUGGACCGUAACUGACGCUGAAACACGGAAGCGUGGGUAGCAAACAGGAUUAGAUACCCUGGUAGUCCACGCCCUAAACGAUGCAUAUUUGGUGUGGGUCAUUCAGUUGAUCCGUGCCGGAGCUAACGCGUUAAAUAUGCCGCCUGGGGAGUACAGUCGCAAGGCUGAA
Molecule: ribosomal RNA, 330 nt
Filed under: uncultured bacterium
Lineage: Bacteria
Description: bacterial SSU rRNA
Rfam family: Bacterial small subunit ribosomal RNA
Source: RNAcentral